This 622-nucleotide ribosomal RNA is filed under the name Chalcosphaerium sp. CHM1. RNAcentral's name for it is "partial 16S ribosomal RNA". The stretch from base 382 to 540 matches the Rfam family "Bacterial large subunit ribosomal RNA", at positions 2473 to 2632 of the family's 2925-position model. Lineage: Eukaryota; Metazoa; Arthropoda; Insecta; Coleoptera; Byrrhidae. The record is from RNAcentral.
GGCUUUUUGAUUAUGAUUUAAGGUUUAACCUGCCCACUGAAUAUUUAAAGGCCGCAGUAAUUUGACUGUGCAAAGGUAGCAUAAUAAAUAGUUUUUUAAUUGAAAGCUGGAAUGAAUGGUUGGACGAGAAAAAUACUGUCUCUUUAAUACUUUUGUUAGAAUUUUACUUUAAAGUUAAAAGGCUUUAAUGAUUUUUAAAGACGAGAAGACCCUAUAGAGUUUUACAUUACUUUAAUUUAUGUUUAUGGAAAUUUAAAAAUUUAUUAUUUGUUUUGUUUAGUUGGGGUGACUGGAAGAUUUGUUAAACUCUUUUUUAUUUUUACAUUUAUUUAUGAAUUAUUGAUCCAUUUUUUUUUGAUUAAAAGAUUAAAUUACCUUAGGGAUAACAGCGUAAUCUUUUUAAAGAGUUCAAAUCGAAAAAUUGGAUUGCGACCUCGAUGUUGGAUUAAAGUUAAUUUUUGGUGGAGAAGCUAAAAUAUUAGGUCUGUUCGACCUUUAAAAUUUUACAUGAUCUGAGUUUAAACCGGUGUGAGCCAGGUUGGUUUCUAUCUUUAAAUAUUUAUUAUUUUUUAGUACGAAAGGACCAAAAAUUUAUUAAAUUAAUUUUAUUAUGAAUAUUAAU